This 564-nucleotide long non-coding RNA is filed under the name Pan troglodytes (chimpanzee). Its description in RNAcentral is "lncRNA (ENSPTRG00000054354.1)". Lineage: Eukaryota; Metazoa; Chordata; Mammalia; Primates; Hominidae. The record is from RNAcentral.
GACAGGCUUAGCUAUGACUAAAAGUGUUGCUGGGUGUAAGACUAUGGAGGAUACAUCUGUAUUCAACUUAGGGCAAGAGAGCAUCAAGCUUCAGGAAGGAGAGAUUAUGAUUGUUUUACUUGCUUUCAGAUAAUGGAUUCUCUCACUUCUUUUCUUUUCUUUUCUUUUCCUUUUCUUUCUCUCUCUCUCUCUCUCUCUCUCUCUCUCUCUCUCUCUCUGUCACAUCUAUAUAGAUAUCCAUUCAUAUAUCCAUACAGGAAAGAAGGAAGGAAGGAAGGAAGGAAGGAAGGAAGGAAGGAAGGAAGGAAGGAAGGAAAGAAGGAAGGAAGGAAGGAAGGAAGAUACCCCAAGUAUAAAUGGAUUCAAGCUACUUGGAAUUUGUCCAUAUGGAAUCAUCUUCCAGGGGAGGAUUUAAAUGGCUAAGGAAAAAGAGUCAAAAUCUCAACUUUGAGUUCUAUUCAUAAAGACAAAUAACUUUAAAAAACAAGAAAAGAAGUACAAAGGAUACAGAGAGAAAACUGUUUGAAAAUGAAAAAUUAAAAGCCCUAAGGAUGUAAAGCACAG